AAGUGGAUGCGGUCAAAGAUGCACCCAUGCCCAGUUUUGACUCAGUCUCUUGAGGUUUUCCUUCCAUGGAACAUCUCACUUUUCCCAUCUUUGCCACUGGUGGCAGCCCUGCAUCAUGUUUUGAAUCCGAGUAAACGACAUUGUUAUUCACUCAACUUAUAGACGAGUUUCAUUGAAGUUUAUUUAAUCCAAAUUGGUAACUGGAGUUUGGUUUUGGUUUCACUUUGGUCACUUGAUUAGGGGUCGUAAUUUCCUUUUAUCGUAUCCUCCUCGGUUGAGGAUGAAAAUGUGAUGUGACAUCACCUUUAAUGUUAAAAUCAUGUCAUGGCUACCAACGGAUAAAAUUGCAAAAUCUCAUUUUAGUAAAAUUAUUCGACAAAGCGACAUAGGCAUUACCCAGAAGGAGCAAGUUAUUAAAGUGUCUAAAAUGUUUCAACUUUAGAAGAUAUGAACAACAAAUUCCAAAUUUUUACAACACAUCGGUUUCAGUUUUUGUUCUUCGAUCAAGAUAGAUCGUCUAGCAUGGCCUAAAGAAGCUUUAUAUGUGAGCGCAGCACUCUAGAAAGAAAGAGCCGACCAAAAUGAUAAAGUUAUCAAUCUAAAGAAGAGAAAUAUCUGACGAGCACGACUAGAAAGAAAGAGCAGACUAAAACGAUAUAGUUAUCAAUUUAAAGAAGAGAAAUAUAGAACGACGAGUUCUUACCGAGAAUGUAACGACAUGCCAUGGAUUCAUUCUGUAGGUGCAUCAGGCUGACUACGGACGAGGUCGGAGUGAAAGCAGAAAUGGCUGCCAUUUUUAUUCAGUGGAAUUGAGAAGAAUUUUUAGCACACCCGCUUGAA
RNAcentral lists this long non-coding RNA (840 nucleotides) under Olea europaea (common olive). RNAcentral describes it as "long non-coding RNA (OEUR_LNC000452)". The record is from RNAcentral. Lineage: Eukaryota; Viridiplantae; Streptophyta; Magnoliopsida; Lamiales; Oleaceae.